GAUGAACGCUGGCGGCGUGCCUAAUACAUGCAAGUCGAGCGAACGGACGAGAAGCUUGCUUUUCUGAUGUUAGCGGCGGACGGGUGAGUAACACGUGGAUAACCUACCUAUAAGACUGGGAUAACUUCGGGAAACCGGAGCUAAUACCGGAUAAUAUUUUGAACCGCAUGGUUCAAAAGUGAAAGACGGUCUUGCUGUCACUUAUAGAUGGAUCCGCGCUGCAUUAGCUAGUUGGUAAGGUAACGGCUUACCAAGGCAACGAUGCAUAGCCGACCUGAGAGGGGGAUCGGCCACACGGGAACUGAGACACGGUCCAGACGCCUACGGGAGGCAGCAGUAGGGAAUCUUCCGCAAUGGGCGAAAGCCUGACGGAGCAACGCCGCGUGAGUGAUGAAGGUCUUCGGAUCGUAAAACUCUGUUAUUAGGGAAGAACAUAUGUGUAAGUAACUGUGCACAUCUUGACGGUACCUAAUCAGAAAGCCACGGCUAACUACGUG
This 497-nucleotide ribosomal RNA is filed under the name uncultured bacterium. RNAcentral describes it as "partial 16S ribosomal RNA". It matches the Rfam family "Bacterial small subunit ribosomal RNA", at positions 28 to 507 of the family's 1533-position model. The record is from RNAcentral.